This 281-nucleotide ribosomal RNA is filed under the name Aquibacillus halophilus. RNAcentral's name for it is "Virgibacillus sp. B6B(2010) Bacterial large subunit ribosomal RNA". It matches the Rfam family "Bacterial large subunit ribosomal RNA", at positions 101 to 375 of the family's 2925-position model. Lineage: Bacteria; Bacillati; Bacillota; Bacilli; Caryophanales; Bacillaceae. The record is from Rfam by way of RNAcentral.
GAUCCAGGAAUUUCCGAAUGGGGAAACCCACUGCUCGUAAUGGAGUAGUACACGUAUCUGAAUUCAUAGGAUACGUGAGGCAGACCCGGGGAACUGAAACAUCUUAGUACCCGGAGGAAGAGAAAGCAAAUGCGAUUUCCCAAGUAGCGGCGAGCGAAACGGAAUCAGCCCAAACCAGAAAGCUUGCUUUCUGGGGUUGUAGGACACUCUAUACGGAGUUACAAAGAAACGCUUUAAAUGAAUCGACCUGGAACGGUCAGCCAAAGAAGGUAAGAGCCCUG